UACGUAGGGGGCAAGCGUUGUCCGGAAUUACUGGGUGUAAAGGGUGAGUAGGCGGCAUGGUAAGCCAGAUGUGAAAGCCUUGGGCUUAACCCGAGGAUUGCAUUUGGAACUAUCAAGCUAGAGUACAGGAGAGGAAAGCGGAAUUCCUAGUGUAGCGGUGAAGUGCGUAGAUAUUAGGAAGAACACCAGUGGCGAAGGCGGCUUUCUGGACUGAAACUGACGCUGAGGCUCGAAAGCGUGGGUAGCAAACAGG
This 253-nucleotide ribosomal RNA is filed under the name uncultured bacterium. RNAcentral's name for it is "partial 16S ribosomal RNA". It matches the Rfam family "Bacterial small subunit ribosomal RNA", at positions 524 to 776 of the family's 1533-position model. The record is from RNAcentral.